RNAcentral lists this long non-coding RNA (1127 nucleotides) under Anas platyrhynchos (mallard). RNAcentral's name for it is "lncRNA (ENSAPLG00020002305.1)". Lineage: Eukaryota; Metazoa; Chordata; Aves; Anseriformes; Anatidae. The record is from RNAcentral.
UUCGUACCCGGUCCUGCUGUGGUCUGAGGCUGGGUGCGGGGCUGGGGGUGCAGCGGGAGGCACGAGGGGAGGUCCCUGAGGUUGCAGAGCUCUGGGAAGCAGGCAUGCAGAGGGCACUGCAGAUGGAGACAGGUGGAUGAUGGAGUAAUUCGUUUCCAUCUGCUCCUGUACUAUAUUUGAAACCUCAGGAAAGCAUCCUCCUUGUAAGAUGUGAAUCUAAUUUCAAAAGGUAGCACUAUUUCUGAAGUGCAGCAGCCUCUGCAAGCCCUGGCCACCCUCCUGCAACAGGAGAUGCUCCAGUGGGGCUCACCGGCGGCGUGAGGACCUGGACCCAGAGCAGGAGGCAGAUGUCACCUAGCAACUUGUCCCUGUUGCAGGAGUCUUCGUCGGAGGGGAUGAAGACCUGGAGAAUACUUCUGAGGUCACCGGAACGCUUUCCUCGGGAGGCAAAUCCCAGAUUGUUUGUCCUGAUGUAUUUUGCUGCCUGCUUUCCGUGCCAUACGGUACCUUCAAAUGGAACGUGAGAGGCCACCUGCGCUUCCCUAAUGAAGCUUUCCUGCUGCGACGAGUUUCUUCCCCACUUCUUAUUUUAAAAUUAAUGGAGACACUCGAAGCUUAACACUGCCUUUGCCAUCGCUGUUUCCCCAGCUGGGCACUGCAAGCACUGAGUGAGGGCUGCGUCCCCUGGUACCACCACUGCCCCCACUGCUUGACCCAGAUCAGUUGUUUAUUUUUUUUUCCCAUUUCCUCCCCUGCAUGCUCGCUUUUCCAAGUUUGCAGCCUCUUAGCACUUAAGAACUGUCCUUGCGCAUUUAGGUAACUUUUGUCAGCUGAAGACAGGCAGCUGAUAUUGGAAGCUGCAGCUCAGAGGAAGCCCCAGUCCGGGUCACAGCUGUGAUUUGGGCCACCUGUGGCAAUGGGGCAGUUGCAGCAAAGCCGUUAACGCGGCAUUCACCUGCUGGCACUGCACUGCGACUGUCUGCUGCAGUCAAAGUUUGUUUAUCCUUGUGCAAUAAAUAGUUUUUCACUAUUUCAUGUCACAGUCUUAAUUUAGGAUAUGGCUCAUGCAUUAACAGUGCCGUACCAGCCAAAUACAUGGCAGGAUUGCUGAUUUCCUUACAGAGCCA